AUGGCCUAGUUUUCCAAAAACUUGGUUUUCUAGGCCAUCAACUUCAAGCCGUUGUAACUUGGCUCAAA
Caenorhabditis elegans is the source of this 68-nucleotide non-coding RNA. Lineage: Eukaryota; Metazoa; Nematoda; Chromadorea; Rhabditida; Rhabditidae. The record is from Ensembl.